GUAGGUGGCAAGCGUUGUCCGGAAUUAUUGGGCGUAAAGCGCGCGCAGGCGGUUCUUUAAGUCUGAUGUGAAAGCCCACGGCUCAACCGUGGAGGGUCAUUGGAAACUGGAGAACUUGAGUACAGAAGAGGAAAGCGGAGUUCCACGUGUAGCGGUGAAAUGCGUAGAGAUGUGGAGGAACACCAGUGGCGAAGGCGGCUUUCUGGUCUGUAACUGACGCUGAGGCGCGAAAGCGUGGGGAGCAAACAGGGAUUAGAUACCCUGGUAGUCCACGCCGUAAACGAUGAGUGCUAAGUGUUAGGGGGGUUUCCGCCCCCCUUAGUGCUGCAGCUAACGCAUUAAGCACUCCGCCCUGGGGAGUACGGCCGCAAGGCUG
Molecule: ribosomal RNA, 376 nt
Filed under: uncultured organism
Description: partial 16S ribosomal RNA
Rfam family: Bacterial small subunit ribosomal RNA
Source: RNAcentral